CAGGCAUUUCAGGUUGGACAGAAAUCUGCUUUAGAUAGCAUCUUCCAGCAAUGCUAAGACUUCUGCUCUAGGACUGCAGCUCCCUUGGCCUGCAAAUCAUUGGGUGGCCUCUCGUUUCCUCCUCAGGCUCUUUUAUUCCUCUACUAAUCAGCAACGUGGAAAGUGGGAGAGGAGAAGUCACUACUGCAGCAAUAAAAAUUCAUCAAACAAACCACUGAUCAUGGUAGAAAGCUGCUAAAGAGAGAGGUAUGUCAGCAAACUUAAUGUGCUGGGAACAGAGGUAUGCGCUCCUAGAACCUGAGGAUCUUGUCUCUGCCCCAGCUGACCCCCAGGGAGGACAAGGAGCAAAGCCACCUAAAUACCAGUUCAACACAAAAGAAACUCGAGUACAGAUUUGAACUACAUCUUAAAUACAGAAGCAGCAUCACGCUGAGGAGGGAAUUGUUUUUCAGGGAACCCUUCCUUCCAAAGGUGAUCUCAAGCUGUGAUGAAACAGAAGGUCAAUGCAGGCAGUAGAUGGAUUAUUUCCUGAAAUUGCCACAAUGCCCAAAGAAAGAGGGGUAUGGGCCAUUCCUCCUAAACUACCCAUGCCACAGGGACAGCCAUCCUGCAGCCCUCACAGCCAGGCAGGUAGGCAACAGCUCCAGCUCAUCUUCAGUGCUCCUUGGAUACUUCUGCUCAUCCAGCCCAGCUAAAUGCUGCACUGGCUAUGAACCUCCCACACUCCCUUUAACUGUCUGUGAGAAGUAAUUUUCUUGUGUUAAUUGACAAAAGAUUUACUAUUUGUCUGACUAGGAGGACAAAAGGGGAAAUAACAACCUACUCUGACCCAGUGGUGGUUAGAAGCAUCCUGAAACUCAAUCAGUCAUCAUUAGGAAAGGAGAUCGACAGUAAGCUCAAACAAAGUUUCAGUUUUGUUUGUUCUAAAGCCAGUGAAAUAAUUCAUUUUUCCCAUCAUUUCAGAAUUUGAGUGCAAUCUAGAGAAUGCUAAAUAAACUGGCAAGCAUAGGAUUCAGAGCUACUGCUGAAGUUUAAUCAUAUUCACAUGUGAAUUCACUGGAACCUGAUGAGUUACCAUCAUAUGUCUGCUUGUUUAUUUUAUUCAUCCUUUUCCAUAUUCACAGCUUUGUCAGAGAUUUAUAAAAGUUACACAGUUCCUAUUUUACCUCUGUUCAUACAAUUAAAAAGAAACUGUGAAAAAAAAGUUCGCCAGUUUCCUUUCCUUCCUUGAGAAGUUCUUGAAAACCUAUCUGUUCUGGGACACGCUCCACCUGCGAGGCAGAUGCCUCCCUGGCUUGUGCUUUAUUUGCUUGUGUGCCUUAAACUGGAUAUUCUUUUGGUAGCAGGUCUGCUAAGCACCUGGUAUGCUGCCUUCGUUGGAGGCGGCUGUAUUUACGCUUAUAGCACUACUAGUUCUGUAUUGUUCUGUGUUGGAAAGAAAGGAACAUGCUGUUAAACUGUCAGCUUGCUCCACCGUGCUUCUUGUAAUAUGACUUUGCAGCAAUGAUUCUCCUGCAAUGACAUUAGUGACGACAGCAGUCGCGACACCAGUGGUGAUAAUGAAAGUAUCUGAGGUUAAUUUUUAAUUUUUUUUUCUAUAACAGAAAGCAGCAGGAAUUAAUUAAGCAGUUUCUUAUGAAGCAGUUUCUGUUCCAGUUAUCUGCACAGUUUACUUAGGCAGGGUAAUGGUGUAACUGCACUGCUUUGCUCAACACCUGAGGCAGCUUAGUGAUUAGGAAAUAGGGAGAAAAGUCAAGGAACUUGUCAAGGGACUAGGUUUUGUGCUUGUCAGAGUGAAAGAGAAAAAACCUACAGGUUUUCAUGGAGAAGGAUAAAGCCUGUGGAAUUCAAUGCACAAUUCUGAAACAAAUUGAUUAAUAAUAGACAUUCAGUUGUUUCUUCUCAUACAUCCCUGCUUUUUAUACAUCAGAAUUAUUAUCAGCAGUAUAACAGGGGAAAAUGUCAAGGUUUUUACUUUGAUGGUGUUGGAUUUUUUUUUACAUCAUUAGCACUUGUUACCAUAAUCUGUAUGGU
Long non-coding RNA from Myiozetetes cayanensis, 2034 nucleotides. RefSeq lists it as uncharacterized. The transcript is spliced from 5 exons. NCBI's taxonomy places the organism in Eukaryota, Metazoa, Chordata, Aves, Passeriformes, Tyrannidae. The record is from RefSeq and is a predicted model, not a curated record.